GAUCCACAGGCAAUGGGAAGAAGCAGCAGAAUCAUUUCAUGCUUUUUGAUUUUUGAUGACAGUCUUGUCAUCAAAAGUAAAUGCUCUGUGUUGUCCUCUUUACCUUGAUGGCCUCACUGUCCUUACAACACCCCUGGCAAGGUGGUUUUAUUAUUUGAUGUGGGGACAUCUGGAAAUCAGAGAAGGAGGGAGGUAGGAUGUGAUUGACCUUUAAGAGUACUUUGUCUCCGAGUGACUAUUAUAAACACAAAGAUGGGGGGCUUCCCUGGUGGCUCAGUGGUAGAGAAUCUGCCUACCAAUGCAGGAGACGUGGGUUCGAUCCCCGAUCUAGGAAGACCCCGCAUGCUGAAGAGCAACUAAGCCUGUGUGCCAAAACCGCUGAGGCUGUGCUCUUGAGCCUGGGAACUCCAACUGCAGAGCCCAUGUGCCGCAACUACUGAAGCCUAUGCGCCUAGAGUCCGUUCACUGCAACAGGAGAAGCCACCGAAAUGAGAAGCCCGCACAUCGCCACUAGAGAGUAGCCUGCAUAGCAACAAAGACCCAGCACAGCCAAAAAUAACCUCUUUGAUUGCACAGGCAAACCUGCAAGACGAGAGAUGCAGAAACACCCAUACCUCCAUGGCCUAAAAACAGAUUAGAAGACAGACGGAAGCUUGUGACCCUACAUAGCAAAAUAGCGCUGUGCUCACUGGCCCUGGAGCCCUGCACUCCGCAGCCAUGCUGAGUAGCUGAUGAGAUGCGCACCCAGCUUGAACGUCAGACGCCCCAAGGCCCUGCAGCCUCGUCUGCCUGCUGUACUGCUGCCAUUUGCACCCUGUGGGUCCUUCCUGGAGGUGGAGCGACCCCUUCCCCUCCUCUGGGCCUGGAGGAGGGAGCAACCUGACUGAUGACACCCCCCUCCCCCAAAGCUCCUUUUAGAGUGGGCUGUAGCUUAGCAACCUGCACCCCUGACAACUGAUUUACUGGAGAAAAGCUUGACUUUCUCCAAGCAGGUUUUCUUUUUCUUCCUUUCUCUUUUCUUUUCCUUCUUUUCAAACAAUCAGACCUUGACUAUGACGAGGUCCUUGUGGAUUUCUCCGGGAGAUGCUGGUUUUACCGUGCCUGGCUUGCUUGGACUCCUGCAUGGACACCAGCUUUCUCCCCAGUCUUCUAGCUUCAGGUCUGACCCCAGUCCCUCCUCCAUGUUGUAGACAGAUUACUCUUUCUAGAGUUCAGUUCUCAUAGGCUUCCUCUCUUGUUUAAAAUCCUUUGAUAGCUCCCAAGAGAAGUAUGCCUACAAGGCCACUCAGCAAUGAGCCCUGCCUAGUAAAUGUUACCCAUCCUUUGUCACGCCAUCACAUCCUCUGGAUUGGAUUUUAAUUUUUUCUUGCUUCCAGAUCCUUGAAUCUGCUGUUUCCUCUGCUUGGAAAGCCUUGCUUCUUCUUACUUACUUGUGAAAUGUUCUUCGAGAAUCAGCUUAAACAUUAGCAUCUCUGUGAACCUUCCCUGACCAGUUCCCAGGCAGAACUGACCACCCCUGUCUUUGCUUCAGAGGGUUAUGGAUGGAAUUGCCCCUUGACUGUGAACUCCUGGAGGGCAGGGAGUAGUUCUCAUCCCCCAACAUGUGGCCAGUGCCCAGCACAGUGCCUGACACAUAGGUGGUGAGCCACAUGUCACCAAAUGUGUGAGUGAGGGAUAC
This is a long non-coding RNA of Bos taurus (domestic cattle), 1678 nucleotides long. The record is from Ensembl. NCBI's taxonomy places the organism in Eukaryota, Metazoa, Chordata, Mammalia, Artiodactyla, Bovidae.